GGAACCAAAUCCUGAACCUUCAAAUUUCAAUGGCUUAUUACAUGAUGUAGAUGCACCCUUGUGGGAAGGUUGUAAUAAUCAUACAUGGUUAUCUGCUGUAUCUCAAAUGUUAAAUUUUAUGUCGGAGUUCCACAGUUACAGUUGUUUUGACAAUUUUAUGUCAAUAAUAAAGAGCAUGCCACCAGAAGGAAAUCUCUUGCUAAGCAACUUCUACACCACAAAAAG
This 225-nucleotide unclassified non-coding RNA is filed under the name Hevea brasiliensis (rubber tree). Lineage: Eukaryota; Viridiplantae; Streptophyta; Magnoliopsida; Malpighiales; Euphorbiaceae. The record is from RNAcentral.